CCUUAUUCAGAGUAGCGGAGGGAACAGGCCCUGUGAAGCUCGGCAACCUGCCGGAAGGAACGUGCUGACGCGUGUCCGACUGCGCAAGGUGCUAAAUCCUGCGGCAACGGCCGAAAGAUAAGG
This 123-nucleotide non-coding RNA is filed under the name bovine gut metagenome. Its description in RNAcentral is "SAM riboswitch (S box leader)". It matches the Rfam family "SAM riboswitch aptamer (S box leader)". Rfam says of the family: The SAM riboswitch is found upstream of a number of genes which code for proteins involved in methionine or cysteine biosynthesis in Gram-positive bacteria. The record is from RNAcentral.